Molecule: long non-coding RNA, 315 nt
Filed under: Homo sapiens (human)
Lineage: Eukaryota; Metazoa; Chordata; Mammalia; Primates; Hominidae
Description: HSALNT0072683
Source: RNAcentral
CACAAAGGCUCCAGCCUCUUGUUCUUUUCCUGUCAGAACGUGAAGGGAAUAUACCUUGUCAUUUAUUUGCCUCAUAUGUGUCUUCUGAGGAUGGUCAGAUGAUGUUUGGUGACUUAUUUUGCCGCCAUCCAGUGAGUAGCUGGUGGAGGAGAGGGAGGAUGGGAGACAGAAUGUUCUAUUUCCUCCACUGGAACAGCAACUCUGGCAGAGCAGGGGAGAAAUGCCCCUGACUAGAAGUUCAUUGGCAAAGUACACAUCUGACCUUGAGCUCCUGAAUUAGCAGCUUUACCUUUUCAUCAAGGAAGAAAGAACAAA